This is a long non-coding RNA of Pectinophora gossypiella (pink bollworm), 371 nucleotides long. RefSeq lists it as uncharacterized. The transcript is spliced from 3 exons. The record is from RefSeq and is a predicted model, not a curated record. Lineage: Eukaryota; Metazoa; Arthropoda; Insecta; Lepidoptera; Gelechiidae.
UUAGACGUUUGAAAUUUGGCAUGCAGGUACCAUAGGUACCGUAGAGGUGCACUAAGAAAGGAAUUCCCAAAAUUCUCACGGGAACGGGAAUUAGCGGGAAAUACCUUUUGUAUGAAAAAUCUAAACCACUCAAGUUAGACAUUUGAAAUUUAGCAUGCAGAUACCUUAGGUACCGUGGAGGUGCACUAAGAAAGGAAUUCCCGAAAUUCUCACGAGAACGGGAAUUAGCGGGAAAAUCCUUUUGUAUGAAAAAUCUAAACCAUUCAAGUUAGACGUUUGAAAUUUGUCAUGCAGGUACCUUAGGUAUCGUGGAGGUGCACUAAGAAAGGAAUUCCCGAAAUUCCCACGGGAACGGGAAUUAACGGGAAAAU